CGCAACUUAAUGUAAAAUACCUGAAGAGAUAAAUACAGAUGAAUUUCAGAAUUCAAAACAAAAUGUACCAUAAAACUUCAGCAACAGAUUUCUUAAUCUAAUUUCAUCACUAAGAUACGCUCAAUUCUCGGAGAUAUUUUCAGGCUCUCCUUGUGUCGGAGAAUGGAUUGAUGAUGAUGGCGAUGGGUUUUUAGGAACAAGUCGUAUUUGCUCCAACAUAAGUCGUCUUUUACAAAGAACAAGGCCAUCACGAGAAAGUUCAGAAUCAUUCACCGAAGGAACGACAAUAUCUGUUCCAAUCGGCUGGUGCCAGGUACCUCUGAAAAACAUUCCUCCGAUUCUGACAAUAGGGUGCGGUUGGUCGAUUCCUAAAAUCGAAAAGUCAUCGGAAGAUUGAAAGUCCAAAGAUGAAUUUUGGAAUUGGAAUACAAUAUUUUCAACGUCAUCAACGUCAGUUUCAAGACUUGGCGAAUUGCUCGACAUAAUCCCUAGCAAUUUUGUCAAACGAAGGGCGAUCGUUUCGAUAUUGUUCAGCGAUGGAAGCUACAAGAGGAUCGUCAGGAUUAGGUUCCCUAAGAAGUUGCAAAAUU
Non-coding RNA from Schizosaccharomyces pombe (fission yeast), 590 nucleotides. The record is from the annotation of a GenBank genome assembly. Lineage: Eukaryota; Fungi; Ascomycota; Schizosaccharomycetes; Schizosaccharomycetales; Schizosaccharomycetaceae.